Molecule: ribosomal RNA, 231 nt
Filed under: Triticum aestivum (bread wheat)
Lineage: Eukaryota; Viridiplantae; Streptophyta; Magnoliopsida; Poales; Poaceae
Description: partial small subunit ribosomal RNA
Source: RNAcentral
CUGCUUCUACUUUCUGUAUGGAGCUGGGAGCGUCUGCCUGUUGGAGGCCCGAAGAGCGUCAGGUUUGAUCCUUGGUAUGCAGAUGAACAUGACGAAUUACGGCGCCCCACGUGGGCUUACAAGUGGGAUAUCGUUUCCGAGAUGACGAACGAUGUCAAUCUCAUGUACCAAAAGUACAUUGCCGAGUUGGACACGAUUACGCCUGAGCAGGUAAGGAGGUCAUUACUUUAG